RNAcentral lists this ribosomal RNA (433 nucleotides) under uncultured bacterium. RNAcentral describes it as "partial 16S ribosomal RNA". It matches the Rfam family "Bacterial small subunit ribosomal RNA", at positions 29 to 507 of the family's 1533-position model. The record is from RNAcentral.
AGCGAACGCUGGCGGCAGGCCUAACACAUGCAAGUCGAACGAACUCUUCGGAGUUAGUGGCGGACGGGUGAGUAACACGUGGGAACGUGCCUUUAGGUUCGGAAUAACUCAGGGAAACUUGUGCUAAUACCGAAUGUGCUCUUCGGGGGAAAGAUUUAUCGCCUUUAGAGCGGCCCGCGUCUGAUUAGCUAGUUGGUGAGGUAAAGGCUCACCAAGGCGACGAUCAGUAGCUGGUCAGAGAGGAUGAUCAGCCACAUUGGGACUGGGACACGGCCCAAACUCCUACGGGAUGCAGCAGUGGGGAAUCUUGCGCAAUGGGCGAAAGCCUGACGGAGCCAUGCCGGGUGAAUGAUGAAGGUCGUAGGAUUGUAAAAUUCUUUCACCGGGGACGAUAAUGACGGUACCCGGAGAAGAAGCCCCGGCUAACUUCGUG